AUUCACUUGACUGCAUAUACACUAAAUUAGAAGACUACACAGAAGGUUGGUGUGGUCCCUGCACAAUGAUGAUACACAAAAAUUCAUGAAGUAGUCCAUAUUUUU
Molecule: small nuclear RNA, 105 nt
Organism: Phodopus roborovskii (desert hamster)
Lineage: Eukaryota; Metazoa; Chordata; Mammalia; Rodentia; Cricetidae
Source: RefSeq, a predicted model, not a curated record